CCGAGGCAACAAUUUGGUAACGUUCCCACUUGGAAAGUAAAAAAGCGUAACAAGGUCUCCGCUUGGCUGAACCAGCGGAGGGAUCA
RNAcentral lists this ribosomal RNA (86 nucleotides) under Trichoderma harzianum. RNAcentral's name for it is "partial 18S ribosomal RNA". Lineage: Eukaryota; Fungi; Ascomycota; Sordariomycetes; Hypocreales; Hypocreaceae. The record is from RNAcentral.